GUGUCAGCCGCCGCGGUAAUACGUAGGGGGCAAGCGUUGUCCGGAUUUAUUGGGCGUAAAGAGCGUGUAGGCGGUUAGGUAGGUCCGUUCUGAAAACUCGAGGCUCAACCUCGAGACGCGGAUGGAAACCAUCUAACUAGAGUCCGGAAGAGGAGAGUGGAAUUCCUGGUGUAGCGGUGAAAUGCGCAGAUAUCAGGAAGAACACCCAUGGCUAAGGCGGCUCUCUAGUACGGUACUGACGCUGAGACGCGAAAGCGUGGGGAGCGAACAGGAUUAGAUACCCUGGUAGUCCACGCCGUAAACGAUGGGUGCUAGGUGUAGGGGGUGUCGACUCCCUCUGUGCCGAAGCUAACGCAUUAAGCACCCCGCCUGGGGAGUACGGCCGCAAGGCUAAA
Molecule: ribosomal RNA, 395 nt
Filed under: uncultured bacterium
Lineage: Bacteria
Description: bacterial SSU rRNA
Rfam family: Bacterial small subunit ribosomal RNA
Source: RNAcentral